RNAcentral lists this microRNA precursor (78 nucleotides) under Schistosoma margrebowiei. RNAcentral describes it as "mir-3492 microRNA precursor family". It matches the Rfam family "mir-3492 microRNA precursor family". The record is from Rfam by way of RNAcentral. Lineage: Eukaryota; Metazoa; Platyhelminthes; Trematoda; Strigeidida; Schistosomatidae.
AACUUCCGUAAUUCAUGUCGAGAUUUUGUCAAACACCAAUCCAUGAUAGCUGAUAAGAAUUCUCAGAUAAAUGAAGUG